UACGGAGGGUGCGAGCGUUGUCCGGAAUCACUGGGCGUAAAGGGGCGCGUAGGUGGCGACUCAAGUCAACGGUGAAAGCUCGACGCUCAACGUCGAGUCGGCCGUCGAAACUGGGGACGCUUGAGCACUGUAGAGGCAGAUGGAAAUUCCGGGGUGUAGCGGUGGAAUGCGUAGAGAUCCGGAAAGAACACCGGUGGCGAAGGCGGUCUGCUGG
This 214-nucleotide ribosomal RNA is filed under the name uncultured bacterium. RNAcentral's name for it is "partial 16S ribosomal RNA". It matches the Rfam family "Bacterial small subunit ribosomal RNA", at positions 524 to 732 of the family's 1533-position model. The record is from RNAcentral.